CCUACGGGAGGCAGCAGUAAGGAAUAUUGGUCAAUGGACGCAAGUCUGAACCAGCCAUGCCGCGUGAAGGAUUAAGGCCCUCUGGGUUGUAAACUUCUUUUAUAGGGGACGAAAAAAGGGCAUUCUUGCUCACUUGACGGUACCCUAGGAAUAAGCACCGGCUAACUCCGUGCCAGCAGCCGCGGUAAUACGGAGGGUGCAAGCGUUAUCCGGAUUUACUGGGUUUAAAGGGUGCGUAGGUGGGUUGGUAAGUCAGUGGUGAAAUCUUCGAGCUUAACUCGGAAACUGCCAUUGAUACUAUCAAUCUUGAAUCAUCUAGAGGUAAGCGGAAUAUGUCAUGUAGCGGUGAAAUGCUUAGAUAUGACAUAGAACACCAAUUGCGAAGGCAGCUUACUAUGGAUGCAUUGACACUGAGGCACGAAAGCGUGGGGAUCAAACAGGAUUAGAUACCCUGGUAGUCCACGCCCUAAACGAUGGAUACUCGACAUUUGUGAUAUACAAUAAGUGUNUGAGNGAAGANAUAGUAUCCACCGNGGUAAGUACGACCGCGAGUAGUUAAAGUUAAAGUAAGUUAGACGGCGUGAGACGNGCCGACGGACGACGACGAGGGAGGAGG
RNAcentral lists this ribosomal RNA (616 nucleotides) under uncultured bacterium. RNAcentral's name for it is "bacterial SSU rRNA". The stretch from base 1 to 532 matches the Rfam family "Bacterial small subunit ribosomal RNA", at positions 338 to 873 of the family's 1533-position model. The record is from RNAcentral.